CCUACGGGAGGCAGCAGUGGGGAAUUUUGGACAAUGGACGCAAGUCUGAUCCAGCCAUUCCGCGUGCAGGACGAAGGCCUUCGGGUUGUAAACUGCUUUUGUACGGAACGAAAAAGCUCUUAUUAAUACUAGGAGUCCAUGACGGUACCGUAAGAAUAAGCACCGGCUAACUACGUGCCAGCAGCCGCGGUAAUACGUAGGGUGCAAGCGUUAAUCGGAAUUACUGGGCGUAAAGCGUGCGCAGGCGGUUGUAUAAGACAGAUGUGAAAUCCCCGAGCUUAACUUGGGAACUGCAUUUGUGACUGUAUAGCUAGAGUACGGCAGAGGGGGAUGGAAUUCCGCGUGUAGCAGUGAAAUGCGUAGAUAUGCGGAGGAACACCGGUGGCGAAGGCAAUCCCCUGGGCCUGUACUGACGCUCAUGCACGAAAGCGUGGGGAGCAAACAGGAUUAGAUACCCUGGUAGUCCACGCCCUAAACGAUGUCAACUGGUUGUUGGGUCUUCACUGACUCAGUAACGAAGCUAACGCGUGAAGUUGACCGCCUGGGGAGUACGGCCGCAAGGUUGAAACUCAAAUGAAUUGACGG
Molecule: ribosomal RNA, 585 nt
Filed under: uncultured bacterium
Lineage: Bacteria
Description: bacterial SSU rRNA
Rfam family: Bacterial small subunit ribosomal RNA
Source: RNAcentral